Molecule: ribosomal RNA, 468 nt
Filed under: uncultured bacterium
Lineage: Bacteria
Description: partial 16S ribosomal RNA
Rfam family: Bacterial small subunit ribosomal RNA
Source: RNAcentral
GACGAACGCUGGCGGCGUGCUUAACACAUGCAAGUCGAACGGAAAGGCCCUGCUUUUGUGGGGUGCUCGAGUGGCGAACGGGUGAGUAACACGUGAGUAACCUGCCCUUGACUUUGGGAUAACUUCAGGAAACUGGGGCUAAUACCGGAUAGGAGCUCCUGCUGCAUGGUGGGGGUUGGAAAGUUUCGGCGGUUGGGGAUGGACUCGCGGCUUAUCAGCUUGUUGGUGGGGUAGUGGCUUACCAAGGCUUUGACGGGUAGCCGGCCUGAGAGGGUGACCGGCCACAUUGGGACUGAGAUACGGCACAGACUCCUACGGGAGGCAGCAGUGGGGAAUAUUGCACAAUGGGCGGAAGCCUGAUGCAGCAACGCCGCGUGCGGGAUGACGGACUUCGGGUUGUAAACCGCUUUCGCCUGUGACGAAGCGUGAGUGACGGUAAUGGGUAAAGAAGCACCGGCUAACUACGUG